Molecule: ribosomal RNA, 254 nt
Filed under: uncultured microorganism
Description: partial 16S ribosomal RNA
Rfam family: Archaeal small subunit ribosomal RNA
Source: RNAcentral
CACCGGCGGCUCGAGUGGUGGCCCCUUUUAUUGGGUCUAAAGCGUCCGUAGCCGGCUUGGCAAGUCCCCUGGGAAAUCUGGCGGCUUAACCGUCAGGCGUCCAGAGGAUACUGCCAGGCUUGGGACCGGGAGAGGUGAGAGGUACCUCAGGGGUAGGGGUGAAAUCUUGUGAUCCCUGAGGGACCACCAGUGGCGAAGGCGGCCCCCUGGACAAAGACUGACGCUCAGGCACGAAAGCGUGGGGAGCAAACAGG